Molecule: transfer RNA, 87 nt
Filed under: Actinomycetota bacterium
Lineage: Bacteria; Bacillati; Actinomycetota
Also listed under: 1 other name
Description: tRNA-Leu
Rfam family: tRNA
About the family: Transfer RNA (tRNA) molecules are approximately 80 nucleotides in length. Their secondary structure includes four short double-helical elements and three loops (D, anti-codon, and T loops).
Source: RNAcentral
GCCGGGAUGUCGGAAUUGGCAGACGAGAUCGGCUCAAAACCGAUUGUCCGAGAGGGCGUGCGGGUUCGAGUCCCGCUCCCGGCACCA